RNAcentral lists this ribosomal RNA (441 nucleotides) under uncultured bacterium. RNAcentral's name for it is "partial 16S ribosomal RNA". It matches the Rfam family "Bacterial small subunit ribosomal RNA", at positions 338 to 795 of the family's 1533-position model. The record is from RNAcentral.
CCUACGGGAGGCAGCAGUGGGGAAUAUUGCACAAUGGGGGGAACCCUGAUGCAGCGACGCCGCGUGGGUGAAGGAGUAUUUCGGUAUGUAAAGCCCUAUCAGCAGGGAAGAACAAUGACGGUACCUGACUAAGAAGCACCGGCUAAAUACGUGCCAGCAGCCGCGGUAAUACGUAUGGUGCAAGCGUUAUCCGGAUUUACUGGGUGUAAAGGGAGCGCAGGCGGGGCGGUAAGCCUGGUGUGAAAGUCCGCGGCCCAACCGGGGGACUGCAUUGGGAACUGGCGCGCUGGAGUGCCGGAGGGGUAGGCGGAAUUCCUAGUGUAGCGGUGAAAUGCGUAGAUAUUAGGAGGAACACCAGUGGCGAAGGCGGCCUACUGGACGGUGACUGACGCUGAGGCUCGAAAGCGUGGGGAGCAAACAGGAUUAGAUACCCCAGUAGUC